RNAcentral lists this long non-coding RNA (973 nucleotides) under Homo sapiens (human). RNAcentral's name for it is "long non-coding RNA NONHSAT198836.1". The record is from RNAcentral. Lineage: Eukaryota; Metazoa; Chordata; Mammalia; Primates; Hominidae.
GCGGAGGCAGCCCCGCGCCGCGCCGGACCCGAGCAUAUUUCAUUUUCUGUCAUUGGACUUUGAGCCAUUAGAACCAUGAGCAACUACAGUGUGUCACUGGUUGGCCCAGCUCCUUGGGGUUUCCGGCUGCAGGGCGGUAAGGAUUUCAACAUGCCUCUGACAAUCUCUAGUCUAAAAGAUGGCGGCAAGGCAGCCCAGGCAAAUGUAAGAAUAGGCGAUGUGGUUCUCAGCAUUGAUGGAAUAAAUGCACAAGGAAUGACUCAUCUUGAAGCCCAGAAUAAGAUUAAGGGUUGUACAGGCUCUUUGAAUAUGACUCUGCAAAGAGCAUCUGCUGCACCCAAGCCUGAGCCGGUUCCUGUUCAAAAGCCCACAGUCACCAGCGUGUGUUCCGAGACUUCUCAGGAGCUAGCAGAGGGACAGAGAAGAGGAUCCCAGGGUGACAGUAAACAGCAAAAUGGGUAGGUGGCUAAGCCCACCAAGAAAACACAUUGUGGAGCGCUAUACAGAGUUUUAUCAUGUACCCACUCACAGUGAUGCCAGCAAGAAGAGACUGAUUGAGGAUACUGAAGACUGGCGUCCAAGGACUGGAACAACUCAGUCUCGCUCUUUCCGAAUCCUUGCCCAGAUCACUGGGACUGAACAUUUGAAAGAAUCUGAAGCCGAUAAUACAAAGAAGGCAAAGGAAAAGAUACCCCUUCACGUCUUUAGUCCCAAAUACACAAAAUUACGUGACUGGCACCAUGAAGUUUCAGCACGUGCUCUUAACGUACAGUGAUUUAUGAGCCUUGCCCCCCAAGCAGCCAGCACAUACCUUUUCAUUUACUUUUUUUUUUUCAACUUCAUAGCAAAAUCUGUAUUAAAUUUGCCUUAUGAAAAAAUAGAACUUUUUCUAUACUUUUCUAACAAUUUCCUAUUGUUGUGAGAAAAGGAAGAUGAACAUGUUUUGUGCUAGUUGGUAGCUCACAAAUGUAAA